GGGCAGCGUAGCGAGCACGCCCGGCCGGCUUCAUCGGCAGGGCUGUAUCCCGCCGCGACGCGUGUUGCAGAUGCUCUGUUCUAUCUUUAUAUGCGCGCAUCUGGUUUGGGACCAGAGGGUCGCAGGUUCGAAUCCUGCCGCUCCGACCA
RNAcentral lists this transfer RNA (149 nucleotides) under Hyphomicrobiales bacterium. RNAcentral describes it as "Rhizobiales bacterium (bioreactor metagenome) tRNA-Pro". Lineage: Bacteria; Pseudomonadati; Pseudomonadota; Alphaproteobacteria; Hyphomicrobiales. The record is from RNAcentral.